GAUGAACGCUGGCGGCGUGCUUAACACAUGCAAGUCGAACGAAGCACCUUGAUUUGAUUCUUCGGAUGAAGAUCUUGGUGACUGAGUGGCGGACGGGUGAGUAACGCGUGGGUAACCUGCCUCAUACAGGGGGAUAACAGUUAGAAAUGACUGCUAAUACCGCAUAAGACCACAGCACCGCAUGGUGCAGGGGUAAAAACUCCGGUGGUAUGAGAUGGACCCGCGUCUGAUUAGGUAGUUGGUGGGGUAACGGCCUACCAAGCCGACGAUCAGUAGCCGACCUGAGAGGGUGACCGGCCACAUUGGGACUGAGACACGGCCCAAACUCCUACGGGAGGCAGCAGUGGGGAAUAUUGCACAAUGGGGGAAACCCUGAUGCAGCGACGCCGCGUGAGCGAUGAAGUAUUUCGGUAUGUAAAGCUCUAUCAGCAGGGAAGAAAAUGACGGUACCUGACUAAGAAGCACCGGCUAAAUACGUGCCAGCAGCCGCGGUAAUACGUAUGGUGCAAGCGUUAUCCGGAUUUACUGGGUGUAAAGGGAGCGUAGACGGAGUGGCAAGUCUGAUGUGAAAACCCGGGGCUCAACCCCGGGACUGCAUUGGAAACUGUCAAUCUAGAGUACCGGAGAGGUAAGCGGAAUUCCUAGUGUAGCGGUGAAAUGCGUAGAUAUUAGGAGGAACACCAGUGGCGAAGGCGGCUUACUGGACGGUAACUGACGUUGAGGCUCGAAAGCGUGGGGAGCAAACAGGAUUAGAUACCCUGGUAGUCCACGCCGUAAACGAUGACUACUAGGUGUCGGGCAGAAAAGCUGUUCGGUGCCGCAGCAAACGCAAUAAGUAGUCCACCUGGGGAGUACGUUCGCAAGAAUGAAACUCAAAGGAAUUGACGGGGACCCGCACAAGCGGUGGAGCAUGUGGUUUAAUUCGAAGCAACGCGAAGAAACCUUACCUGCUCUUGACAUCUCCCUGACCGGCAAGUAAUGUUGCCUUUCUUUCGGGACAGGGAUGACAGGUGGUGCAUGGUUGUCGUCAGCUCGUGUUCGUGAGAUGUUGGGUUAAGUUCCCGCAACGAGCGCGAACCCCUAUCUUUAGUAGCCAGCGGUUUGGCCGGGCACUCUAGAGAGACUGCCAGGGAUAACCUGGAGGAAAGGUGGGGAUGACGUUCGAAUCGAUCGAUGCCCCUUAUGAGCAGGGCUACGCACGUGCUACAAUGGCGUAAACAAAGGGAGGCGGAAACCGCGAAGGUCGAAGCAAAUCCCAAAAUUAACGUCUCAGUUCGGAUUGUAGUCUGCAACUCGACUACAUGAAGGCUGGAAUCGCUAGUAAUCGCGAAUCAGAAUGUCGCGGUGAAUACGUUUCCCGGGUCU
This 1365-nucleotide ribosomal RNA is filed under the name uncultured bacterium. RNAcentral's name for it is "bacterial SSU rRNA". It matches the Rfam family "Bacterial small subunit ribosomal RNA", at positions 28 to 1381 of the family's 1533-position model. The record is from RNAcentral.